AUUGAACGCUGGCGGCAGGCCUAACACAUGCAAGUCGAGCGAGCGGCGGACGGGUGAGUAAUGUCUGGGAAACUGCCUGAUGGAGGGGGAUAACUACUGGACACGGUAGCUAAUACCGCAUACCAUCAGAUGUGCCCAUAUGGGAUUAGCUCGUAGGUGGGGUAACGGCUCACCUAGGCGACGAUCCCUAGCGGGGCUGAGAGGAUGACAAGCAAAACUGGAAAUGAGACACGGGCCAGAGUCCUACGGGAGGAAGCAGUGGGGAAGAUUGCACAAGGGGAGCAAGCCUGAUGCAGCCAGGCCGCGGGUGUGAAGAAGGCCUGCGGGUUGUAAAGCACUUUCAGCGGGGAGGCGUUACCCGCAGAAGAAGCACCGGCUAACUCCGUGUCAGCAGCCGCGGUAAUAC
Molecule: ribosomal RNA, 406 nt
Filed under: uncultured bacterium
Lineage: Bacteria
Description: partial 16S ribosomal RNA
Rfam family: Bacterial small subunit ribosomal RNA
Source: RNAcentral